CUCGUAGGCGGCUCGGUAAGUCGGGUGUGAAACCUCCAGGCUCAACCUGGAGACGCCACCUGAUACUGCUGUGGCUAGAGUCCGGUAGGGGAGCGUGGAACUCCUGGUGUAGCGGUGAAAUGCGCAGAUAUCAGGAAGAACACCAGCGGCGAAGGCGGCGCUCUGGGCCGGAACUGACGCUGAGGAGCGAAAGCGUGGGUAGCAAACA
Molecule: ribosomal RNA, 208 nt
Filed under: uncultured bacterium
Lineage: Bacteria
Description: partial 16S ribosomal RNA
Rfam family: Bacterial small subunit ribosomal RNA
Source: RNAcentral